Molecule: ribosomal RNA, 2167 nt
Filed under: human gut metagenome
Description: bacterial LSU rRNA
Rfam family: Bacterial large subunit ribosomal RNA
Source: RNAcentral
AGCGAAAGGGAAAGAGGCCAAACCAGAGAUAGCAAUAUCUUUGGGGUUGCGGACUGCAAAAUUGAUUCAAUAUUUUUAGCAGAAGUGUAUGGGAAGACACACCAUAGUAGGUAAUAGUCCUGUAAGCGAAAAGGAUAUUGACAAGGCAGGAUCCAGAGUACCACCGGACACGAGGAACCCGGUGGGAAGCCGGGGGGACCACCCUCCAAGCCUAAAUACUACCUGAUGACCGAUAGUGAAAAGUACAGUGAUGGAAAGUUGAAAAGAACCCCGGAAGGGGAGUGAAAAAGAAUCUGAAACCCUAUGUUUACAAGCUGCUAAAGCACCAUAUGAGUGCGAUAGCGUACUUUUUGUAGAACGGUCCGGCGAGUGUAUGUUGCAAGCGAGGUUAAGGUGUUAAGCACUGAAGCCGAAGGGAGACCGAGUGUGAAUAGCGCGUACAGUUUGCAGUAUACGACCCGAAACCGGGUGACCUAACCAUGGACAGGUUGAAGUGGAAGUAAAAUUCCAUGGAGGACCGAACCCACGUCUGUUGAAAAAGGCGGGGAUGAGCUGUGGUUAGCGGUGAAAUUCCAAUCGAACUCGGAUAUAGCUGGUUCUCAUCGAAAUAGCUUUAGGGCUAGCCUCAGGAUAGUUUAGCGGAGGUAAAGCACUGAAUGGGCUAGGGGGCUUCACGGCUUACCGAACCCUAUCAAACUCUGAAUGCCGCAUAAAUGUUUCCUGGGAGUCAGACUGCGUGAGAUAAGUUUCGUAGUCAAAAGGGAAAGAGCCCAGACCUACAGCUAAGGUCCCUAAAUGAAUUUAAGUGGAAAAGGAUGUGCAGUUGCGUAGACAACUAGGACGUUGGCUUAGAAGCAGCCACUCAUUUAAAGAGUGCGUAAUAGCUCACUAGUCGAGUGAUUGUGCGCCGAAAAUGUAACGGGGCUAAAAUUCAUACCGAAGCUUAGGAAUGAUAGUAAUAUUGUUGGUAGAUGAGCGUUGUGUAAGUCUGCGAAGCUACACCGAAAGGAGUAGUGGAGAUAUCACAAGUGAGAAUGCCGGAAUGAGUAGCGAGAAUUAUGUGAGAAUCAUAAUGGUCGAAAAUCUAAGGUUUCUUGAGGAAGGUUCGUCCGCUCAAGGUAAGCCGGGAGCUAAGGCGAGGCCGAGAGGCGUAGUCGAUGCACAUACGGUAAAGAUUCCGUAGCCACCGAAGUCGUUAAAUACAGGGACACAGGAACAUAGCCUAACCCCACCGUUGGUUGAGUGGGGCGUAAGGGAGCGAAAAAUAGUAGCGAAGUAGGUGAUUGUACACUGGCGAGAAAAGCUGUAUGAAUUGACAAGGUGCCCGUACCGCAAACCGACACAGGUAGAUGAGGAGAGAAUCCUAAGACCAGCGGGAGAAGUGUUGUUAAGGAACUCGGCAAAAUGACCCCGUAACUUCGGGAUAAGGGGAGCCUACGAGAGUAGGCCGCAGAGAAUAGUCUCAAGCGACUGUUUAGCAAAAACACAGGUCUAUGCUAAAUCGAAAGAUGAUGUAUAUGGGCUGACGCCUGCCCGGUGCUGGAAGGUUAAGGGGAAGUGUUAGAGCAAUCGAAGCACUGAACUUAAGCCCCAGUAAACGGCGGCCGUAACUAUAACGGUCCUAAGGUAGCGAAAUUCCUUGUCAGGUAAGUUCUGACCCGCACGAAUGGCGUAACGACUUGAGAGCUGUCUCAACAACAUACCCGGCGAAAUUGAAGUACUGGUAAAGAUGCCAGUUACCCGUGAUAAGACGGAAAGACCCCAUGGAGCUUUACUGUAACUUGAUAUUGAAUUUUUGUAUUACAUGUACAGGAUAGGUGGGAGACAGAGAACUAAUGCCGCCAGGUGUUAGGGAGUCGAUGUUGGGAUACCACUCUUGUAAUAUGAAGGUUCUAACCUGCACCCGUGAAUCCGGGUGGGGGACACUGUCAGGUGGACAGUUUGACUGGGGCGGUCGCCUCCUAAAAGGUAACGGAGGCGUUCAAAGGUUGGUUCAGCACGGACGGAAAUCGUGCAACGAGUGCAAACGCAUAAACCAGCCUAACUGCGAGACCGACAAGUCGAGCAGUAACGAAAGUUGGAGUUAGUGAUCCGGCGGUAUGAGAGUGGAAUUGCCGUCGCUCAACGGAUAAAAGCUACCCUGGGGAUAACAGGCUGAUCUCCCCCA